RNAcentral lists this long non-coding RNA (233 nucleotides) under Elaeis guineensis (African oil palm). Its description in RNAcentral is "long non-coding RNA (EGUI_LNC069809)". Lineage: Eukaryota; Viridiplantae; Streptophyta; Magnoliopsida; Arecales; Arecaceae. The record is from RNAcentral.
GGGUUGGGCUGAGUGAAGGCAGGUUUAUUUGAGUUUGACCUUUGUAACCAAGAAAAAUUGAGGUGAUUCCUCCAUCCUGGGUGUACGUUGGUACGUAGGGGUCAUUUGUGGGUCUUUGAUAGGCUGCGUUCAUUUGUGCUACUUCAUUCUUGGUUGGACCCAUCAAGAAAGGACAUCCUUCUAUUGUGUGGUCUAUGGCAUUGCACCCAUUGCAAGUGGAUGUUGCAACUUGG